UGAGGAUGUAGGUCUGUGGUUGGGCAGUAGCCUAGUGUGUGUCAGGCCCUGGGUUCGAUCCCCAGCACCUCAA
Molecule: transfer RNA, 73 nt
Filed under: Marmota monax (woodchuck)
Lineage: Eukaryota; Metazoa; Chordata; Mammalia; Rodentia; Sciuridae
Description: tRNA.Thr
Source: RNAcentral